GUCAGCGCGUUCGGUCCGGUACGGAUUCGGUCCGCGAAAAAUCGGGAAAAUACGGGAAAAUUCGGGAAAUUAAACGGGAAAACGUAUCGUGCAGUAUCGGAGUAAUGUGCAGUGUACAACAACAAGUGUGUGUUAGUGAAGUGUAGGGAAAUGUUUGAGCAUUUAAUGGGCAAAAUUGCGGAGGAGCACAGCGAGGCUAGAAGGAGAUCGUCGAUGGAAAUAUGCGGCAAUAUGUGAAAGUGAAGUGUGUGUUAGUGAAGUUAAAGAAAAUGUGGUGCAAUGGUUGAACAUUUAGUGGACAAAAAAUGCGAGAUCAUUUACGAAAUAUGCGACAAUAUGUGAAAGUGAAGUGUGUGUUAGUGAAAUGCAGUGAAAUGUGGUGAAAUAGUUGAGCAUUUAAUGGGCAAAAAAUGCGAGAUCAAAUGCGGAGGAGCACAACGAGGCUAAAAGCUAAAAGCAGAUC
This 463-nucleotide long non-coding RNA is filed under the name Drosophila guanche. The record is from RNAcentral. Lineage: Eukaryota; Metazoa; Arthropoda; Insecta; Diptera; Drosophilidae.